UACGUAGUGGGCUAGCGUUGUCCGGAAUCAUUGGGCGUAAAGCGCGUGUAGGCGGUCCGGUAAGUCCGCUGUGAAAGUCGGGGGCUCAACCCUCGGAUGCCGGUGGAUACUGUCGGGCUUGAGUACGGAAGAGGCGAGUGGAAUUCCUGGUGUAGCGGUGAAAUGCGCAGAUAUCAGGAGGAACACCAAUUGCGAAGGCAGCUCGCUGGGACGUUACUGACGCUGAGACGCGAAAGCGUGGGGAGCAAACAGG
Molecule: ribosomal RNA, 253 nt
Filed under: uncultured bacterium
Lineage: Bacteria
Description: partial 16S ribosomal RNA
Rfam family: Bacterial small subunit ribosomal RNA
Source: RNAcentral